Molecule: ribosomal RNA, 234 nt
Filed under: uncultured bacterium
Lineage: Bacteria
Description: partial 16S ribosomal RNA
Rfam family: Bacterial small subunit ribosomal RNA
Source: RNAcentral
UGGCGGACGGGUGAGUAAUGUCUGGGAAACUGCCCGAUGGAGGGGGAUAACUACUGGAAACGGUAGCUAAUACCGCAUAACGUCGCAAGACCAAAGAGGGGACCUUCGGGCCUCUUGCUAUCGGAUGUGCCCAGAUGGGAUUAGCUAGUAGGUGGGGUAACGGCUCACCUAGGCGACGAUCCCUAGCUGGUCUGAGAGGAUGACCAGCCACACUGGAACUGAGACACGGCCCAG